This is a ribosomal RNA of Cricetulus griseus (Chinese hamster), 119 nucleotides long. The record is from Ensembl. NCBI's taxonomy places the organism in Eukaryota, Metazoa, Chordata, Mammalia, Rodentia, Cricetidae.
GUCUAUGGCUGUAUCACCCUGAACACGCCUGAUCUCGUCUGAUCUUGGAAGCUAAGCAGAGUCAGGCCUGGUUAGUACUUGGAUGGGAGAAGCAGAAUAGUCCCUGUGAGAUAUAGAGA